This 374-nucleotide ribosomal RNA is filed under the name uncultured organism. RNAcentral's name for it is "partial 16S ribosomal RNA". It matches the Rfam family "Bacterial small subunit ribosomal RNA", at positions 527 to 896 of the family's 1533-position model. The record is from RNAcentral.
GUAGGUGGCAAGCGUUGUCCGGAAUUAUUGGGCGUAAAGCGCGCGCAGGCGGUUCUUUAAGUCUGAUGUGAAAGCCCACGGCUCAACCGUGGAGGGUCAUUGGAAACUGGAGAACUUGAGUACAGAAGAGGAAAGCGGAAUUCCACGUGUAGCGGUGAAAUGCGUAGAGAUGUGGAGGAACACCAGUGGCGAAGGCGGCUUUCUGGUCUGUAACUGACGCUGAGGCGCGAAAGCGUGGGGAGCAAACAGGGAUUAGACACCCUGGUAGUCCACGCCGUAAACGAUGAGUGCUAAGUGUUAGGGGGGUUUCCGCCCCCUUAGUGCUGCAGCUAACGCAUUAAGCACUCCGCCUGGGGAGUACGGCCGCAAGGCUG